AAAAUGAGAUGUUUUUGAAUUUCCAAGAAUAUACAUGGGGGAGGGAAUUUCUUAACAAUCCAACUAAAUCCACUCCCAAAAUAACCAGAUGGCCAUUGACGAAUUUACUGGAAACGCACAAGAUUAUAGAUAUACCAAUACAGCUGGUGCAAACAGAGGAUCCUGGACCUUCAUGCAUUACUGAAAUGUUAGAAAGUGAAGGCUUAAUAAGAGAAGUAUGAUUUCCUUUGCAUUCACUUCUUAAAAGUACAUAAAUCUUAGUUUCUCUAUUUUUUGUGAUAUUUUCACAUUUCUUGAUUGGUGUGAAAAAAAUAUUUUUCCUCACUAGUGAAAUAUCUUAGCAAGUUAAAUGACUGGUCGACAUUUUAUUAUGAUGUAAAAUUUUCUUGGUUUCUUCUGAAAUUUCGUAUUUGUGACGUCAUGUUAAAAGAUGACCAUGUCUGAUGACGUUGUAUAUAAAGAACACAAUUUUCUACAAAUCUUUGAAAUGGAAGGAUAAAAAUCAUAAGAGAAACAGAUUUCAUCACUUUAAAUCGUGUAUGAUGAUAUUUGUUCACUCUGAACAGUUGAAUUGUGAUUAUUUAAAAAUCUCUUCAAGCCUCAUUUUUUUUAAAUAUUUUAAAAAACUGUGACUGUAUUAAGUGCAGAAAUAUCAAAUCACACUCGUUGCACUGGUGAAAUCUAUAUUUCUGUUUCUAGAUAAGGUUGUUCAAAAUGCCAGAACUCAGAAUAUACCAAAAAGUGAAGUCACAAAAAAUUAUCACAUCUCAAUUCAUUGUUUAAAAAUAUUGAAAGAAUAGUCUCACCAUAAACCAAAUAUCAGCCUUAUCAAGAAUAUCUUUCCACUAGAACUGGAAAAAGGUGUAUAAGGAACUCUUUAGUGUACAAUUCUUGCCUGAUUAUAAUAAAACUCAUAUCAAAGUUAGGAUUAGCAAUAUCUUGGUAAGUUCAAAAAUCAGUGCCGAGGAUUAAUAAUGUUAUUGAGUAAUGCCUCUUGGAAACAUUAAAUAUACUAGAAGAUGCCUGCAAAAUCGUGGUACAAUAUUGGGCAAGUGUUGAACCAAAACAGUUUUUAAAUUGUGUGUGUACAGUAUGUCGACUGAGCAUGCACGAAAGCGUUUAAGAAACCAAUCAAUAAUGGUCUCUAAAUUUGAAUAUUUUCUUUAAAAUUGGCGUUUUCUGUUAAACAGAUUGUUUCAAAAACAUAUUUAGAAAGUACAAAUAUUAUACAUUCAUUCGUUAUAUUGCAAAUAUUUCAGACCUUGUAUGGUGUCAGAGGAGUUGUGGCUCAACGGAAUAGGUCUCGUCCUUCAGUAGUAUAGAUGGAAAAUUACAUUUUUUGUGCUCUCUUGCCAGAGUUUUUAUAAAACUUAUAUCAUAGUUUCAUAUGAGCAAUGUAUAGAUCAAUUUGAAAAAUCAUUGCGGAUGAAAUAUUUUCAAAAGAGUUUAAGGCAUUUUCAAAUUUUUUCCCAAAAUGCAUUGCAUUUUAUCUCAAACCUUCAUUUCUCAGUGAUAUUUAUGAAAAUUAUGUUCCUUUAACGAUUGAGAUUUUAUUGGUUUACCAUUUAUUUUGUGAGAUAGUAAUUUUCUGGAUAUUCUAUUUUAAGAUUAAGACAAAGAAAAAAAAGAAAGAGAAAGGACUAAUUCUAUAUUCAUCUGUAACAAGUAUGCAGUAUUGCUGGUUUACAGUCAGAUGCUUAACGUGACUUCAGCAGGAUUUUCCACGGAAAUCAGGAUGCAAGAUGUUUUACAGCUUUUAUAUGAUAUUUUUUUUUUGAAUCAAUAGAGCUAAUAGAAAUGCAUAAUAAAUCCUUUUAUACUUAAGAAAAGAGGAACUGCAGUAUACCAGAUCAAAGAACAAAUGAAGGCAUUUAGAUUUAAGAAAUUAUCUUUUGAAUUAUGUAACUAUUGAAUUGUGUCAACAUGCUAUUAUUAUUAUUGUUGGCUUUUGGCCAUUAAGAAGAAAUAAGGUUAAUAUUGGAUCGAA
Molecule: long non-coding RNA, 1987 nt
Filed under: Mytilus galloprovincialis (Mediterranean mussel)
Lineage: Eukaryota; Metazoa; Mollusca; Bivalvia; Mytilida; Mytilidae
Source: RNAcentral